UACAGAGGGUGCGAGCGUUAAUCGGAAUUACUGGGCGUAAAGCGCACGUAGUCGGCUUUGUAAGUCGGGUGUGAAAUCCCCGGGCUCAACCUGGGAACUGCAUCCGAGACUGCAUUGCUAGAGUAUGGGAGAGGGAAGCGGAAUUUCUGGUGUAGCAGUGAAAUGCGUAGAUAUCAGAAGGAACAUCAGUGGCGAAGUCGGCUUCCUGGACCAAUACUGACGAUCAGGUGCGAAAGCGUGGGGAGCAAACAGG
RNAcentral lists this ribosomal RNA (253 nucleotides) under uncultured bacterium. RNAcentral's name for it is "partial 16S ribosomal RNA". It matches the Rfam family "Bacterial small subunit ribosomal RNA", at positions 524 to 776 of the family's 1533-position model. The record is from RNAcentral.